CAUUUAUUGUAAAACAAGGUGAGGGAUCUUAGGAGAGAAUAGGACCUUGACUAGGUAUUGCACAUGGUUCCAGUCGCACGGUCCCUAUUGUAGUUGGAGGAACUCGUUUUUCAACACAUUGUCUUCUUUUGUAAUCGUACUCUUCAUUUUUUAAUUACGUUGCUUUUUUGGAUAAUGUUGAGCAGUGUGUUUAGCUUCUC
This 200-nucleotide long non-coding RNA is filed under the name Physcomitrium patens. RNAcentral's name for it is "long non-coding RNA (PPAT_LNC001012)". The record is from RNAcentral. Lineage: Eukaryota; Viridiplantae; Streptophyta; Bryopsida; Funariales; Funariaceae.